CCGAGGUGUUCGGAAGUGCAUGUGAUGUUUACCAGUCGGUUGGGCUGAUGCCUCUGUUGUAUACCGGCUUGAACGGGGUGCUGCUAUGAGACACAGCAGGGAUAUUGACUGCCAAGGAAAAGAAACGCUGCCGGGUGAUGGGAGAAGAGUUAAAAAAACAAACGUGAAAUCAUCUCAGCACUAUGAUUCUGUAGAGGGAUAGAGAACCCUCCCAGCCUCGUACCCUAAGCCUUCCCCACCUGCCACAGAUCCCAUAUGUAAGACUUCCUGAUCCAAGCAAGAUUUGGGAAAACUGUUUUCAUGAGGCGAGUUCCUGCAUGUCAGAAGGAGCAUGUUGAGAUAAACAGGUAAUUAGUUGCAGUGAUGUGAGACAGGAGACAGCAGAGAGGCUGCCUCACACACCCAAAUAUUCCUAGUAUUUGCAAACGCAGCUCUGAGUGAUCAUUAAAGGCUGCUAGGAGAAGGGGAUCAGGGCUGGUGUGCAAAUUGGGGAAAUGAUAGAAAAAGAUAAAAGGG
Long non-coding RNA from Spea bombifrons (plains spadefoot toad), 516 nucleotides. RefSeq lists it as uncharacterized. The record is from RefSeq and is a predicted model, not a curated record. Lineage: Eukaryota; Metazoa; Chordata; Amphibia; Anura; Pelobatidae. The transcript is spliced from 2 exons.